This 73-nucleotide transfer RNA is filed under the name Elusimicrobia bacterium GWA2_69_24. RNAcentral's name for it is "tRNA-Met". It matches the Rfam family "tRNA". From Rfam's summary of the family: Transfer RNA (tRNA) molecules are approximately 80 nucleotides in length. Their secondary structure includes four short double-helical elements and three loops (D, anti-codon, and T loops). RNAcentral also lists the same sequence under 1 other name. The record is from RNAcentral. Lineage: Bacteria; Pseudomonadati; Elusimicrobiota.
GGCGCGGUAGCUCAGUGGUUAGAGCGGGCGUUUCAUAAGCGCUAGGUCGGGGGUUCAAUCCCCUCCCGCGCCA